UGAGUUCGUCAGACAGUCGCUGCCUGAAUCGUCCAAUCUGCUGCGCAAGUGGUGGUUGUGGCCUCAGGGAGAGGAAAGUCCGGGCUCCACAGGGUAGAGUGCCAGGUAACUCCUGGGAGGCGAGAGCCUACGGAAAGUGCAGCAGAGAGUAAACCGCCUAAGCUUCAGCUUGCUGAGGCCGGUAAGGGUGAAAUGGUGCGGUAAGAGCGCACCGCGCGUCUGGCAACAGUACGUGGCGAUGGUAAACCCCGCUCGGAGCAAGACCAAAUAGGGAUCCUAUGGCGUGACCCGCGCUGGAUCCGGGUAGGUUGCUUGAGAUGUACGGUGACGUGCAUCCUAGAUGAAUGACUGUCCAAGACAGAACCCGGCUUAUCGACGAACUCAUUUU
Molecule: RNase P RNA, 388 nt
Filed under: Hahellaceae bacterium
Lineage: Bacteria; Pseudomonadati; Pseudomonadota; Gammaproteobacteria; Oceanospirillales; Hahellaceae
Description: RNase P RNA component class A
Rfam family: Bacterial RNase P class A
About the family: Ribonuclease P (RNase P) is a ubiquitous endoribonuclease, found in archaea, bacteria and eukarya as well as chloroplasts and mitochondria.
Source: RNAcentral